CACGUAGGAGGCGAGCGUUGUCCGGAAUCAUUGGGCGUAAAGGGUAUGUAGGCGGUCUCGUUUGUCUGGGGUGAAAGCCUUGAGCUUAACUCCAGAAGUGCCUUAGAAACGGCGAGACUGGAGUACUGGAGAGGGUCGUGGAAUUCCCGGUGUAGCGGUGAAAUGCGUAGAGAUCGGGAGGAACACCAGAGGCGAAGGCGGCGACCUGGACAGUUACUGACACUAAACUACGAAAGCGUGGGGAGCAAACAGG
Molecule: ribosomal RNA, 253 nt
Filed under: uncultured bacterium
Lineage: Bacteria
Description: partial 16S ribosomal RNA
Rfam family: Bacterial small subunit ribosomal RNA
Source: RNAcentral